RNA transcript from Triticum aestivum (bread wheat), 2748 nucleotides. It is a transcript of the gene named mitogen-activated protein kinase kinase kinase ANP1, with no coding region annotated. The transcript has 9 exons. NCBI's taxonomy places the organism in Eukaryota, Viridiplantae, Streptophyta, Magnoliopsida, Poales, Poaceae. The record is from RefSeq and is a predicted model, not a curated record.
CCCCGUGGAGAAGACCUAGCCGCCGCCUCCCGUCCCCUCGCCUCCCCCUCCUCGUCACCCUCCUCUCUCUCUCUCUCUCUAACCCCUCUCUCUCCCCAUCGUGCUGGCCGGUUCCACCGCGACCCCCGCCUCCUCUCCUGCCGCUGCCGCCGUCGGAGAAGCUCGCCUCCGCGCCCACAAGCCUCAGAUUCGGCGGGAUCCGGGACGAGGAGGGGUGGAUGAGACGAGGAAGGAGGAGGAGGAGAGAGUGGGGGCGUAUGGGGAGGAAUAUCCCUGCCGCCUCCUCCCUGCCUCCACAAGUCGAGGGGGAUGGGGCUGCUCGGGCUCAGCCUGUGGGAUGUCGACUGGACCGGCAGCGAUGGAGAAGAAGGGCCGGGCAGGUGCGUACAGGCGGGAGAAGCUGGGGGCGCUCGUCGGUUGGGGAGAUGGCGACCACCUGAGCUUCUCAGAUUGAUCUAGACAGGGCCACGACAGCAUAAUCAAGGGGUGGGGGCGGGCAACCCUCUGAAGCCACGCAUGUCUACAGAAGAGGAAUUUUGAGAAUGAGAUUGAUAAAGAUGAACAAGGAAGUAACGGUCAAGGAAGAAGAGUUAGAUGCUGCUGAAGAUGUCGAUGGUAAACAUAUGUCUCGGUUUUGAUAUUAUACACGUUGUCACGCUAACUUUUGAACCCUUCUUAAUUGUCACAUAUGCACAGAGCAGCCGCUUUGUCACAAGCAUGGCAGCCUGCUCAACUAUCUCCACUGCCUGCAUACAGCUGUUUCAGAACAGCGCCGAUCAACCCAGGUUUAUGUUUCCUUUCCAAGGGUGUUCGAAUAUAAUUACCAUCCAUCGAUUACAGAUGUUACCAGUACUGAGUGUGUGCCUUAUUAGUUUGUUCUUUAUUAUAGAGUUCGGUUGUAGAAGAACGAAAUGAAGCACACAUCAGGAAGUCAUGCUCUUUCCAACAACAACAACAAAAGAAUAAAUUCAAAUGAUUAGUAUAUGCAUAGCAGUGUAAUGCAAGUGAUAGCCGUGGUAAGGCCCAAGCGCAUAUAAGAGAACUUGAGGAAGAAGUGAAACUCCUCAAGAACCUUUCACACCCCAAUAUUGUGAGGUACCUCGGGACUGUCCGUGAGGAAGACACACUGAAUAUCCUGCUGGAGUUUGUUCCUGGAGGGUCUAUCCAGUCGCUUCUUGAAAAACUCGGUUCAUUCCCGGAGGCAGUCAUUAGGAAGUAUACUAAGCAGAUUUUGCAAGGGUUGGAAUAUCUCCAUAGCAAUGCAAUAAUACGUAGAGACAUUAAGGGUGCAAACAUUCUUGUUGAUAACAAAGGCUGCAUUAAGCUUGCCGAUUUUGGGGCAUCUAAGUGUGGUGUUCUUCCUUCAAUAAAUUGGCAGAUGCUUGCUUCUGUUAAUUAAAGUUCAGUCUUAGGAGGUACUGCCCUGUGCUUGAAUGCAGUUGUCUUUGUUUAGACAGCAGCCGAGCCCAGUCAACAAUUAUUAGUAGUAGUUACGAGAUAAGGCAGAGGAGGCAUAUAGGGCCAGCCGUCGUAUAUGCAAUGCAUGAAAGUCACUGUUGAUUCCAUUCAAGUAACGAAUAAAUAGUAGUUGCUAAUUCUAUUCAUAGUGAUUACAACCAUAGGUAAACGUAUGCUUCUAACUUUCAUAUGCAUGCUUCCCAGUGUACAUACGUGCGAGUUCAUCUUCGCCCUAGAUGCCUGUGGCUUCUCUCUUUUGGUGCAGUUUACAAAUAGAAUGCUAAGGCAAGUUUAAUUUCUAAUGUGCAUGUAAAUCCUUGAGAUUUUUGGUGUUUAUGAAGAUCCAAUAAACAAAGAGUUGAAUGAUAUGAAAGGGGAAAUAGACAGAAUAGUGAAAAUUAUGUGGCUAUAGUGCUGAUGAAUUUUAGGAUCUAAAGCUACUGCUUAUGGAUACCAAUAUUACAUUAGCAUUUGGUAUUUAGAUCUGCUUGCCUAUAAGCUCUAUAGGGAAACAUUUAUUCUCUGUUUGGACUUUGAUUUCUGAAUUUGGUUCCUUGCUGAAGGAAUAGCUGAAGCUUUGCUUUCUUAAAAAAAAGUAAAGCUUUGCUGCUGCACACUAUUUUCUUGCCUUUCCUUGAAGAUGAUUAUACAGAUUAGUUGCCAGCUUUAUCUCUCUACGAUUUGUGCCUCGGUUGCCAGGUUAUCUCAUAUGAAGCCAUGAACUGAACCUAGCAUUAACUAGAAAUAUAAACCAUUGUAUGAAGAUACUAUCUGAGUACGUACUUGCAUGUUCUUUAGAUCUACUACAUAUGAUUUAUUACGUAUAAAUAUGCCAUGUAAGUAUCUACUUUUAGAUCAUUAUUGCUCGCACAUAAAAUGGUUCCAGUAUCUGGUUUGAUUUUGUUUUUAUGUGUGCACAGAUCCUGUCAUGGAGAUGGUUGACAUUACGGACAAGUUCAUACUCAUGUUCAUUAAGCUGUAGCUCCCACAACCAGUUUUUCUGCUGCAAAGUUGGACAGAGGUUUGCAGUUACAAUCAAGUUCCGUACCAGCAUGCGGCAUCGGUGACAUGAUGCCGGAGCAAUGGCACUAUCGCGGAUUUUUGGUAUAUAUCUAUUUCCAUAGAAGAUGCAUGUAUGUUGCAGCGGCUCGAGUUGUUUAACGUUGUACCAGCAUGCGGCAUCGGUGACAUGAUGCUUGAGAACCUUGUUGUUUAACGCAAAUAUUUUCUUAUGUUCGGGUGACAAGCUUUAUGCUUUUGUGGCCAAUAUAGAUAAGAAAUUCCCAUUUA